RNAcentral lists this ribosomal RNA (497 nucleotides) under uncultured bacterium. RNAcentral's name for it is "partial 16S ribosomal RNA". It matches the Rfam family "Bacterial small subunit ribosomal RNA", at positions 28 to 507 of the family's 1533-position model. The record is from RNAcentral.
GAUGAACGCUGGCGGCGUGCCUAAUACAUGCAAGUCAAGCGAACGGACGAGAGGCUUGCUUCUCUUAUGUUAGCGGCGGACGGGUGAGUAACACGUGGAUAACCUACCUAUAAGACUGGGAUAACUUCGGGAAACCGGAGCUAAUACCGGAUAAUAUUUUGAACCGCAUGGUUCAAAAGUGAAAGACGGUCUUGCUGUCACUUAUAGAUGGAUCCGCGCUGCAUUAGCUAGUUGGUAAGGUAACGGCUUACCAAGGCAACGAUGCAUAGCCGACCUGAGAGGGUGAUCGGCCACACUGGAACUGAGACACGGUCCAGACUCCUAAGGGAGGCAGCAGUAGGGAAUCUUCCGCAAUGGGCGAAAGCCUGACGGAGCAACGCCGCGUGAGUGAUGAAGGUCUUCGGAUCGUAAAACUCUGUUAUUAGGGAAGAACAAAUGUGUAAGUAACUGUGCACGUCUUGACGGUACCUAAUCAGAAAGACACGGCUAACUACGUG